Molecule: ribosomal RNA, 464 nt
Filed under: Vreelandella stevensii
Lineage: Bacteria; Pseudomonadati; Pseudomonadota; Gammaproteobacteria; Oceanospirillales; Halomonadaceae
Description: partial 16S ribosomal RNA
Rfam family: Bacterial small subunit ribosomal RNA
Source: RNAcentral
CCUACGGAGGCUGCAGUGGGGAAUAUUGGACAAUGGGCGAAAGCCUGAUCCAGCCAUGCCGCGUGUGUGAAGAAGGCCUUCGGGUUGUAAAGCACUUUCAGUGGGGAAGAAAGCCUUGGGGCUAAUACCCUCGAGGAAGGACAUCACCCACAGAAGAAGCACCGGCUAACUCCGUGCCAGCAGCCGCGGUAAUACGGAGGGUGCGAGCGUUAAUCGGAAUUACUGGGCGUAAAGCGCGCGUAGGCGGUCUGAUAAGCCGGUUGUGAAAGCCCCGGGCUCAACCUGGGAACGGCAUCCGGAACUGUCAGGCUAGAGUGCAGGAGAGGAAGGUAGAAUUCCCGGUGUAGCGGUGAAAUGCGUAGAGAUCGGGAGGAAUACCAGUGGCGAAGGCGGCCUUCUGGACUGACACUGACGCUGAGGUGCGAAAGCGUGGGUAGCAAACAGGAUUAGAUACACUGGUAGUC